AUUUUGACCUUCGGAUUCAGCAACGUUCCUAGAAAAGAUGGAGGGGCGAUGGAUAAAAUUAAGACCAGCAGAUAUCAAGCAAAGACGAAUGCAGGUUAUGGGACAUGCUGGAUAGAGAGCCUGACAGGGAGCUCAAAGUGGAUCUUGAUGGGAAGUUAGUUGUCCCCAACAUCAUUGAAUUAACCUGUAUACAACCAGACACAAUACUAGUGUUCCAGCAGUCAAAGACAUUGGUUGCAAUAUACUGACAGUGUCACUGUAAGAAAAAUUGUGAGGAGACAUAUGAAACUGAUAGACUCUGAUGCUUAAGUAUGCAGACUUGAUGGCAGACUGCAAAGAUGGUGCUCUUGGUUGUCUUUGAUAGAGGUUGGUUGCAGAGGGUUCCCUGCACAAUCUAUGGGGAACUCCGAUGCUGCUCACAAAAACAAUUGGGAAGAGCAUGUAAAAAACUAAUAAGAGGACUGGAAGAAACAGCAGAGUGGUCAUCUUCCUGGUUUUGGCACCAUCCAGAUCUUUGCUGGAUGUCAGGUCCAUCAAGUGGUAGAUUGGAGAAUGUCAUUGCCCGGCAGGGUCAAAACAUUUUGAGAUGGUUAGAGACAAUAUUUUGGCAAUCUGAAACAAGCACAAGAAGCGGAACAUAUUUAUAGAGAUUGGCAUACAUAAGAGUGCCAAGCUGACAGAUAGAUAAAAGAAAUCCAUCUUUUAUCCCAAUGUCAUUUGAUGAUCAUUCAUCAUAACUGCCUAAACAGCUACUAGAGAUCCAUUUGUUUUCAAGCAGAAAGAAAUUCUUUGUUGAUAGUAUUUUGUGGAAAACAAUACCAGU
Molecule: long non-coding RNA, 823 nt
Organism: Magallana angulata
Lineage: Eukaryota; Metazoa; Mollusca; Bivalvia; Ostreida; Ostreidae
Exons: 3
Source: RefSeq, a predicted model, not a curated record